RNAcentral lists this ribosomal RNA (424 nucleotides) under Verrucomicrobiota bacterium. RNAcentral's name for it is "Verrucomicrobia bacterium partial 16S ribosomal RNA". It matches the Rfam family "Bacterial small subunit ribosomal RNA", at positions 355 to 776 of the family's 1533-position model. Lineage: Bacteria; Pseudomonadati; Verrucomicrobiota. The record is from RNAcentral.
UGAGGAAUAUUGGUCAAUGGGCGAGAGCCUGAACCAGCCAAGUAGCGUGCAGGAUGACGGCCUUAUGGGUUGUAAACUGCUUUUAUGUGGGGAUAAAGUGCGUGACGUGUCAUGCAUUGCAGGUACCACAUGAAUAAGGACCGGCUAAUUCCGUGCCAGCAGCCGCGGUAAUACGGAAGGUCCGGGCGUUAUCCGGAUUUAUUGGGUUUAAAGGGAGCGUAGGCUGUCUAUUAAGCGUGUUGUGAAAUAUACCGGCUCAACCGGUGGCUUGCAGCGCGAACUGGUCGACUUGAGUAUGCAGGAAGUAGGCGGAAUUCAUGGUGUAGCGGUGAAAUGCUUAGAUAUCAUGACGAACUCCGAUUGCGCAGGCAGCUUACUGUAGCAUAACUGACGCUGAUGCUCGAAAGUGCGGGUAUCAAACAGG